ACGUCCAGGUAGUUUGGCCAGGAGCUCCUGGCCUGGUUCUGACUGGGGACGUGGCUAUCAAAAGGGACAGUCUGGUAGUUCUUGAUUUGGUUUGGCUGCCUUCUGCCCUCUAGAGUACUCUUUUUUUUUUUUUUUUAAGAUUGUAUUUAUUUAUUCAUGAGAGAUACACAGAGAGAGGUAGAUACAUAGGCAGAGGGAGAAGCAGGCUCCCUGUGGGGAGCCCGCCGUGGGACUCAAUCCCAGGACCCUGGGAUCACGACCUGAGCCAAAGGAAGAUGCUCAACCACUGAGCCACCAGAUGCCCCUGGGUGCUGACUCCUGAAGAUCCCCCUGAAGCAGCUUGCAGAGUUAAUCCGAUUAUGUGUGCAGUAAUGCAAACAUCCAGCUGUUGGUUCUCUGACUACACAAGAGACAAUCUUGAAAUCUUUUGGGCAAGAAAUGAACUAUAGAAAUAGCUGUGAGUGAAACCAUUGGGAAGGAUUGGGGUAUGGAGAGAAUGGAGCAACAUGGGCCCUCAGCACCAUAUCAAGAGGAUGCCUCGUUAUGGGAGAAGCUAUUACAUUCCUGCUCUCUGAGAGCAUCUGACAGUCAUUUUUAGGUUUGAUGCUGUCAUCUGCACCAGCAAGUCACAACUGAUACCAGCAGGAAGCCGUUCUCUUCCCAGUACACCAACCACCAGGGAGUAUCUUGCCAACUUCGACUUCAUUUAGGGGAACCUGGAUAGAAACUAGAGAGAAACCACUGGAUGCAGCCUUUCGAUUCAAAUCCUGGGUUGUGUCUAGAUGGUCAGCCUUUUUGCCGGUGCCACUCAACCACCCAUGCCUACUUUUGCCCUCUGGUUUCAACUGAACUUUCUCUAGAUGCCAAAGACUUCUUUGAAUAGCUAACGGUGACUCAGACAAAAGGAUCAUGAAGAGGUUCGAAUACGCAAAGAAGCCUUGAAAGUGCUUUUCACAAAAGCAUCAAAACUACGCCACUGACAUGUUCGUUUAUUACAUG
Long non-coding RNA from Canis lupus familiaris (dog), 999 nucleotides. RefSeq lists it as uncharacterized. The transcript has 4 exons. NCBI's taxonomy places the organism in Eukaryota, Metazoa, Chordata, Mammalia, Carnivora, Canidae. The record is from RefSeq and is a predicted model, not a curated record.